This 253-nucleotide ribosomal RNA is filed under the name uncultured prokaryote. Its description in RNAcentral is "partial 16S ribosomal RNA". It matches the Rfam family "Bacterial small subunit ribosomal RNA", at positions 524 to 776 of the family's 1533-position model. The record is from RNAcentral.
AACGUAGGUGGCGAGCGUUAUCCGGAUUGACUGGGCGUAAAGGGUGUGCAGGCGGCUUCUCAAGUGGUGUAUGAAAUCUCCCGGCUCAACCGGGAGGGGUUAUGCCAGACUGGGGAGCUAGAGCGUGGGAGAGGGUGGUGGAAUUCCGGGUGUAGUGGUGAAAUGCGUAGAGAUCCGGAGGAACCCCAGAGGCGAAGGCAGUGUCCUGGGUGUUGGCUGACGCUGAGGUGCGAAAGCCAGGGGAGCGAACGGG